UACGUAGGGCGCAAGCGUUGUCCGGAAUUAUUGGGCGUAAAGAGCUCGUAGGCGGUCUGUUACGUCCGCUGUGAAAACCCAGGGCUUAACCCUGGGCUUGCAGUGGAUACGGGCAGACUAGAGGCAGGUAGGGGAGAAUGGAAUUCCCGGUGUAGCGGUGAAAUGCGCAGAUAUCGGGAGGAACACCGGUGGCGAAGGCGGUUCUCUGGGCCUUACCUGACGCUGAGGAGCGAAAGCGUGGGGAGCGAACAGG
Molecule: ribosomal RNA, 253 nt
Filed under: uncultured bacterium
Lineage: Bacteria
Description: partial 16S ribosomal RNA
Rfam family: Bacterial small subunit ribosomal RNA
Source: RNAcentral